ACCGUACUCCUACGGGAGGCAGCAGCAAGGAAUCUUCCGCAAUGGGCGAAAGGCUGACGGAGCAACGCCGCGUGUGGGAUGACGCCUUUCGGGGUGUAAACCACUUUUCUCAGGGAAGAAGCACUGACGGUACCUGAGGAAGAAGGACCGGCUAACUACGUGCCAGCAGCCGCGGUAAUACGUAGGGUCCGAGCGUUGUCCGGAGUUACUGGGCGUAAAGCGCGCGCAGGCGGCGGUGUAAGCAUGGCGUGAAAGCCCCUGGCUUAACCAGGGAGGGUCGUCGUGGACUGCACCGCUUGAGGGCGGUAGGGGCUGGUGGAAUGCCUGGUGUAGUGGUGAAAUGCGUAGAGAUCAGGCGGAACACCCGUGGCGAAGGCGGUCAGCUGGGCCGUCCCUGACGCUGAGGCGCGAAGGCGUGGGGAGCGAACGGGAUUAGAUACCCCAGUAGUCCUUGAC
RNAcentral lists this ribosomal RNA (456 nucleotides) under uncultured bacterium. Its description in RNAcentral is "bacterial SSU rRNA". It matches the Rfam family "Bacterial small subunit ribosomal RNA", at positions 330 to 801 of the family's 1533-position model. The record is from RNAcentral.